Non-coding RNA from Corynebacterium durum F0235, 186 nucleotides. The record is from Rfam. NCBI's taxonomy places the organism in Bacteria, Bacillati, Actinomycetota, Actinomycetes, Mycobacteriales, Corynebacteriaceae.
CACUUAUACAAACUGAAUGCAGACAGGGGCGGGAAACCAUUGGCUCCCCCAGAAAGCCACAGGAAGUGCUCACCAGCGCACUUCCCCCAGGAUGAAGUUCAGAUUAUCCCUGAACCGGACGGUGGUGCUCCUCGGUCCGAAUCCGACAGCUAACUUCGCAGGCGACAAUUUUUUAUGAGAGGAACA